Long non-coding RNA from Neoarius graeffei (lesser salmon catfish), 367 nucleotides. RefSeq lists it as uncharacterized. The transcript has 3 exons. The record is from RefSeq and is a predicted model, not a curated record. NCBI's taxonomy places the organism in Eukaryota, Metazoa, Chordata, Actinopteri, Siluriformes, Ariidae.
CCCCCGCAGAGAUGUCAUUCAUUCUUACACGGGAGGCACUUUGCAGGUUUGACGUCAGAGAAACAACUGGCCUAAUGUGAUGGAGGCUCUUGUGAAAUCCUCACCGUCAGCACGGAAAUAGCCGGAGAAGAGGAUAAUAAGAUAUCAGUGUGUUUAAGGAGAACAUGCUGAACCGAGAAAACUGUCAUCCAGAUGAGAAACAAAUACAGAUCCAAAGACACGAUGAGCAAGUGGAAGAAAAAACAUCUGAACAAAACCGCAGGAACAAAAAUGAGACCUAAAUGAGACAAAAAGAAUAACAAGUGGAAUAAUAUUAAUAUUAUUUUAAUGACUGUACGUUGAUUCUAUUUGUAAGCACUUAUUAUUG